GCUAGACCUGUACAGCAAAGCAGAAGAAAACAAAGCUCUGCUCUUACUGGAUGAGUUUCUAUGUGAAGCCUUUAAAUCCUGGAGACCAUUUAGCAAAAAUUAGCUUAAAAGGACAGUAAUUUUUCAAUAAAAUGUUUUCAAUUAUUUUAGUUAUUUUAGUUUAAUGUUUCUAUGAAAGUAAAUCAUCUGUGAGAGUAAAUGAAGAAAAGAGAGGAGAAGAGAGAAUUAGAAAGUAGAAGAGGGGUGAAGAAAAGCGAAGAGCAGAGAAAGAGCAGAGCAGAGCAGAGCAGAGCAGAGCAGAGCAGAGCAGAGCAGAGCAGAGCAGAGAAGAGAAGAGAAGAGAAGAGAAGAGAAGAGAAGAGAAGAGAAGAGAAGAGAAGAGAAGAGAAGAGAAGAGAAGAGAAGAGAAGAGAAGAGAAGAGAAGAGAACUCACUGGUGAUAUUGAGAUCUUCUAUCCUUCAAAGGGAUGAGACUACAUCCUCUGGCAAAUCCUGCAUGAUAUUCUAGCUGCCAGAAGAUCAGGUUUGCAACAGCUCCUCUUCAGUUCUGGAGAACAUAGUUGAAGCAGUGUUGCUUUUGCCUGAUGGUGGACCAUGUACUGAAAGACAAAGAUCAUGUGUCUGUGACAUUGAAACUAGAUGAUCAUUAUUGUCCUUUUCAACUCAGGCCAUUCUAUGAUUCUGUGACAUCCUAAAAACAUGAUAUUCUGUGACUCUAGAAGUCCCAACUCCUCAUUUUCUGUUGAUGCCACCUGCAAGGACAUGCUAGAAAUGAGGAGAAGUGGUGAGCCCAUGGAAAUCUCUGAUGUUCACAUGUGAAGUAUCUCUUCACCAGACUACAGGGGACUGAGGAAGACAAGGUGGAAGACAGCAAAAUUCACGGUGGGAGGAAGGCAACCUUGAUCCCAAAGGCUAUUUAAAUAGUAACAUAAUGAAGUGAUAAUUUAUGGCUCAGUUCUACUCUACCUCGCACCUUGUGUGGUCCUCUGCUGUCAGACACUCUCUGAGCUGAGUUCCCCACUCUCCCUGUUAACAGCUUCCCAGUGUGUGAGAGCACAUAUUUAUUGUGGGGGAAAUUGCCUUUCAACUGACUGGCUCCAGGUCCUCCAAGGCUGCCCAGGGAAGAGGUGGAGUCACCAUCUCUGGAGGUGUUCAAGGAAUGCAGAGAUGCGGCACUGAGGGACAUGAGGUGCUAAGGAGCUUUCCAAGCUGUAGUGAAGAAAGGCAAGCAGAAGUGAUGCUCUCAAGGUUUUGAGGCUUCAAAGAUCAACUCUGCCCUCAGACGUUCCCAAGAAACCAAGGUGAACCCAGCCAAACCAAGAGCUGCCACCAAGACUGAGAAGAAGCCUUCAGUUCAGAAAUGGGAAAUACUCUCCUCAAAAGGCAAGUGGGGAAGCUCAGCCUGCCAGAUGGCAGAACCCCCUUAACCGCUCACCCCGAGCCAAAAUUUGCAACAGCAGUGUUUGCAAAUGAGAGGCCCCUGGUCUCAAAUGCGUGUGAACUCCAUGUGCAAUUGUGCCACUGAAUUUUGUGGGGGUCAGUGGCAGUCGAACUCAUGUAAUAAAGGCUAGAAACUGGCUCUGAAACUCAGUCCUCCCUCUGCUGUGCUCUCAGAUAUCUGGCCAGACACCACUGCUUUCUUGUGCUACAUCCAUGCAAAAAUAUUUUGGACAAGAUGGAAAUGACUAUUGUCAGAGGCAAGGGCUAAUCUGUGAAGGAAAGUGUCAAAAAAUCCCCAGCACAGAGCAUGGGGAAUACACAUAGUCCUUAUAGUUUUGAAAGAGAUGUACAGACUCUGCAGUCAACAGUUCAUGGGCUCCAUCACUUUGAAUGAUUGAUAGACUGGUUGGCUAAGGAAAGCCUGGAUCAGGGCUCAGAUCCACACCUCUCAGUGUAUUGCAAGACCCAUGCUCAGGGCAGAUCUCCCUGGAAUUCACCAUACCAAUGGAGAUUUUAUAUUCAUUUGACAGUUUUUGUCUUUCUCUGGUUGCACGAAGGGCACUCAUGUCAUGGAUCUGCAGAUGAUCAAGUGAAAAUGAAAGUUCAUGUUGCAACUCACACCAUUUGCUCUGCUGGUGGAGUCACCCAGCGGCAGCAGGUCUGGGAGCCUGGCAUCCUGCAUAGAAAUCAGUGAAGGUCACCAGGGUAGCGUCACCUUCAGGUCUUAGGACUUUUUGGUUAAAAACAGCUUAAAGCCACUGUUGACCUGUGCUGUGUUUGAGUCAGUGACCAAGAGAUGAAAGACUUUCUAUCCUAUUUCUAGUCCUUUGACUUGCUCUGCUGUAACAAUAAAUAUCCCCCAAAUAUCUUGGAACUCCCAGAAAUAUAGCCUUAAAAUAAACUUAUAUCACAGGCUAGUAAUUACUGAAUGUUUUGCAUUGUUUCUCCUCUGGGAGAUAUAUAUCCCUCAGGAAAUGAGUUUCUAAUUGGGCAGAAUAGGAGAAACAGGGCAGCAACAACAGUGUGGGAAAGCUGAAUUAAUAAAAGCUUCUAGAUACCCUCUGGCCACCCUGCACAGAGAAAUGACAAAUGACAUACCUGGAUGAGGGCAUUUUAACUUUGGGACUCCUUGGGAGGUGCCUGAACCAGGAAGAGAGGAAGAGAGGAUAGAAGCAAAAAUGCUAUUAGAGACCUGGUAAAAAUUUACAUGAAGUGGUGCACAGCGAUGCUUACAAAAAAAAACCAAACCAGAACAACAAAAAACCCUUGACCAUGUUACUGACAGUACCUGUGAAGAAACUCAGCUACUAAUUUUUUUGCUUAGAUUAAGAAAAUACAUAUACCCAUCCUCUUUCCUGAGGUGCUAACGAGCUUAUUUCAGGUCCAACAUUCCUUUUAUGUACAGAGUACUGGGAGUCUGGAUCCUGUUGACAGUGCCUACCCAUUCAUAGAAAGGUUGGGCUGAGCCAUUCUCAAGCACUCUAUGGCACAAAGAGACCAACACCAAUGAGGCUGCAGGGAGCCUUUUGGAUGUGAAUUCGUGUGAUGGUUCAUCAUUCCAACUGCAGUCCCUAUGUU
Gallus gallus (chicken) is the source of this 3018-nucleotide long non-coding RNA. Lineage: Eukaryota; Metazoa; Chordata; Aves; Galliformes; Phasianidae. The record is from Ensembl.